This 147-nucleotide small RNA is filed under the name Eubacterium ventriosum. RNAcentral describes it as "Clostridiales-1 RNA". It matches the Rfam family "Clostridiales-1 RNA", at positions 17 to 159 of the family's 166-position model. Lineage: Bacteria; Bacillati; Bacillota; Clostridia; Eubacteriales; Eubacteriaceae. The record is from RNAcentral.
AGUUAUCAUCCACCUGUGCUUGCACAAAGGUGGAUGCAUAACCUUGAGAUGCGUACUUCAAUGAGCAUAAAAGUGAAGCGAAAGCUUCACGAUAUGCGAAUUGAAGUUAACGGAUUGCGAGAGCACGUAGUGCGUAGCAAUCCGUUG